Sinocyclocheilus rhinocerous is the source of this 210-nucleotide small nucleolar RNA. The record is from Ensembl. Lineage: Eukaryota; Metazoa; Chordata; Actinopteri; Cypriniformes; Cyprinidae.
AAGACUGUAUUUUCAGGAAUCAUUUCUAUAGUUCUUUACUUGGAAAUGUGUUUUGAAAGUGUUUGUCUUCCAACCCACGAUGAUGAGGUGUAAUGCUCUUUUCUGAGAGUGAGUCAAGGGUAGAACUGUGAAUUUAGUCACAAUCUGUCGUUGAUGAGCGUUAAUAUUGUUUUUGGCAAUGUUGAAGAAAGGGGUAUGAUCUGAGUGGUA